This 462-nucleotide ribosomal RNA is filed under the name Listeria monocytogenes. RNAcentral's name for it is "partial 23S ribosomal RNA". It matches the Rfam family "Bacterial large subunit ribosomal RNA", at positions 545 to 1007 of the family's 2925-position model. The record is from RNAcentral. Lineage: Bacteria; Bacillati; Bacillota; Bacilli; Caryophanales; Listeriaceae.
AGAUCCUGAAACCGUGUGCCUACAAGUAGUCAGAGCCCGUUAAAGGGUGAUGGCGUGCCUUUUGUAGAAUGAACCGGCGAGUUACGAUCCCGUGCAAGGUUAAGCAGAAGAUGCGGAGCCGCAGCGAAAGCGAGUCUGAAUAGGGCGCAUGAGUACGUGGUCGUAGACCCGAAACCAGGUGAUCUACCCAUGUCCAGGGUGAAGUUCAGGUAACACUGAAUGGAGGCCCGAACCCACGCACGUUGAAAAGUGCGGGGAUGAGGUGUGGGUAGGGGUGAAAUGCCAAUCGAACCUGGAGAUAGCUGGUUCUCUCCGAAAUAGCUUUAGGGCUAGCCUCAAGGUAAGAGUCUCGGAGGUAGAGCACUGAUUGGACUAGGGGCCCCUACCGGGUUACCGAAUUCAGUCAAACUCCGAAUGCCGAUGACUUAUCCUUGGGAGUCAGACUGCGAGUGAUAAGAUCCG